GCGGUCGUGGCGAAGUGGUGAACGCAUCGGAUUGUGGCUCCGACACUCGGGGGUUCGAUUCCCCUCGAUCGCCCCA
RNAcentral lists this transfer RNA (76 nucleotides) under Domibacillus aminovorans. RNAcentral's name for it is "tRNA-His". It matches the Rfam family "tRNA". Rfam says of the family: Transfer RNA (tRNA) molecules are approximately 80 nucleotides in length. Their secondary structure includes four short double-helical elements and three loops (D, anti-codon, and T loops). Lineage: Bacteria; Bacillati; Bacillota; Bacilli; Caryophanales; Bacillaceae. RNAcentral also lists the same sequence under 3 other names. The record is from RNAcentral.